Molecule: ribosomal RNA, 231 nt
Filed under: uncultured bacterium
Lineage: Bacteria
Description: partial 16S ribosomal RNA
Rfam family: Bacterial small subunit ribosomal RNA
Source: RNAcentral
UACGUAGGUGGCGAGCGUUGUCCGGAUUUAUUGGGCGUAAAGCGCGCGCAGGCGGUCGCGUAAGUCUGCUGUGAAAUCUCCCUGGCUCAACCGGGAGGGGGCGGCGGAGACUGCGGGACUGGAGGGACCUAGGAGGCCGGUGGAAUUCCCGGUGUAGCGGUGAAAUGCGGCAGAUAUCGGGAAGAACACCCGUGGCGAAGGCGGGCACUCUGGGACGGUACUGGACGCGUG